Long non-coding RNA from Panthera uncia (snow leopard), 3026 nucleotides. RefSeq lists it as uncharacterized. NCBI's taxonomy places the organism in Eukaryota, Metazoa, Chordata, Mammalia, Carnivora, Felidae. The transcript has 3 exons. The record is from RefSeq and is a predicted model, not a curated record.
CUUUAACGAGCCCUUGGGAAGCUAUGGCCCUUGAAACAGAUCACGUCCGUCCACGUCGAAAAGAGAGCAUUAUUAAUAAGUUGCCCUGGGCACCCGGUAAUGAUUGUGAGCGGCUGUGAGCCAGGGUACACGAGGGCACUGCAACUUGAAAGGGAACAUUUCCCAAAGGGAGGCGAUAGGUCUUGAUAAUUGUUAUAAUAACAGCUCAGCGGGCCUGGGUUGGUUCCUUUCAUCCUGUGAGGUCAUAAAUGGCUUUCUCCACCGGAGAAAGGACAGGGCCUCCACCCACCACAAACACCCUCUCGCCCGCACUCACCCAGCUGGGGAUUUGCCCAGCUGUUAUUUCUGAGCUGGGGAAACUUCGCGAUUGUUAAAACAAGAUUGAGGCCAUCAAUCCCAACCGCACAGGUAGACCAUAAAGUGAUGGCAAGAUUCUGCGUGUAAAAACGUCUGGCAAGAGCCCUUCCGGGUUGAUCCAAGUUAAAGGUUCCGACCUUUUCUACAUCGAACAGUGCAACCUGGCUGCUGUCCCCAUCCUUCGCAGCUUGUCAGCUCUCCUCUGCGUGACAUGGUGCUCCUGCAACCCUCAUGCCUUUCGUUUCCACGACCCAUCUCUUCUCCGUGUCCUCUCACCUGGCACAGAGCUCUGUCACAAUCGGACCAGGCUUCUCUCACACCACCCACCCUUUUCAGCUUAGUGCUUCAGAGCACUUUGUUUUUGUCCUUCUUAUUCUCAAACAUUGCUACACAAUUUGCAGGGCCCAGUGCAAAUAAAAAUGGGGGUGCCAGUUUAAAAGUUACUAAGAGAUUCAAGAUGGCGACAGGAGAGCAUUAAACCCAAACCUCGGGGCCCUCCUGAGCACAGGGCCCUGUGUGGUCACACACCCACGAAGCUGGCCUUGCCCGUUCUGCAUGCUCCCAGGACAAUCUCAUGCACGCUGGCAGUAACCACCACACACGCUAAUGACUCUCACAUGCAUCUUCUUUCUUGAGCCCCAGAGCCAAUUGUUGGGCCAACCUAUUGACAUCAACACUUUGUCACUUUGCAGGCAACUUAGAAGCAGUACGUUCAAGACCGAACUCAUUAUCUUUCCCCCCGAAACCUGCUUCUCCUCCUGUAUUCUCUAUCUUGAUAAAUAGCAACAUAAUCCUCUGAGGUGCCCAAACCAGAAAGCUCUGAGUCAUCUCUGACUCUACUGCUGCCUUACCCCCAUAUCCAAUAGGCCUCUAGGUUUGAGUGAUUAUAGUUGCCUAUUAUCUCUGCUAUCCAUCGGCUCCUCAGCGCUCCAGGCCCCUGCCCUAGUUCCGGUGCUCACAGCUCCUGCUCCCUCUGCUUCAGGUGUCUCCUUAUGCCCGCCCCCUUGUUUCCUAGCACCAUCCAUCUUUCUCUACUGUGUCACCACAGUGAGGUUUCUAAAACACAAAAAUCAAUUGCUUCACUCCCAUUUCUACAACUUCCAGAGUCUGCAGAACAAAGUUUAAACUCUGGCAUUGCAUGCCGGCUCUUCAUAAUGUAUUCUCUGCCUACUACCUGCAUCUCCCAGCCCUGACCCUGGCCAAUACCCUCCACACUGCAAACGGUGCCAGGGAUCCAGCUAUCCUUGUCCACCCCCCAACAGGCCAAACACCUUCACACUACUUACCUGUGCACAUCCUGUUCUCCCCGCCGGGUGCCAACCCUGUGGCUCCCUCUGACCACCAUGCUCCUUCUGGACCUUUAUGAUGCAGCUCUAGGAUGUCAGGUUGAGUCUUCCACCUCCCAAAGAUGCACUAAAAAGACCCAAUAAGGCUAAGAGUUAGAAAAAGUCCAGAGCAGAACCGACUGAGGAGGCUGUCGUGAAAAUGGAAGGCAUUUACAGGAAUUUCUGGAAGAAAUGAAGUGAUAAGAUCAUAUUAAAGGGACAGCUGAUUAGUACACAGGUGAUCAGACAAUACAGGUGAAGAGGAUACUCCCUUGAAGUUAAAGGUGAGGGUAUUCCCGACAGCACUUCAAAGGACUUGAUGCUCGCAGCAACAGGGAUAGCUAAUGGAUAUGUGGUGGGAUAGUCUCACUUGGCAAAUUGAAAAGACAUGAACUGCAAACUGGAUCACUUCCCCCCAGUGAGAGUGGCAAGCUCAUGUUGUGUGUGUUCCUUACCAAGUCUCAGUGUGGACUGAAGAAUGAAAAGGUGUGGCAGGGCCCCAGCGAACUCUGAGCCGUACCACAAAUAUGGAGAACUGAAAGGAGUCUGAAGGAUGGUGAAAUUCCCUAAGGCCCUCAGCACCCACAGAGACAACUCCUUUCCAUCUUCCUGUUGACACUGUCCUGUUGACAUCAAUGGCUUUGCUAGAAGACAGGAAGCCAGCAGCAGGGAGCGACGUGAUGGUCUUCAGGGCUUACCCGAGCUCCUCACCCCAGCUGUUGGCCAAUGCUCUCCAGACCGUGAAGUUACUACUAGGAGCAGAAUGCACAGCACCUGAGCAUGAGGAUGGGCGCCCUCAUAGCCCUGAGCCUUUUAACUGAGAACUCUGGCCUGCUGCUCUGUUCCCAGCCCACCUCUCCUGAAAGGAAGCCACCAUCAGUGUGGUGGCUCAGUUCCCACCCCAGGCAAGCCCCACCCCCGGAGCCUAGCAGCUAUCACAAACCUACCUUUUCUAGGGGAAAUGAGGGUGAUCUGGAAAUCUAUACCUGCCCAACUGAUGUUCUCAUGUGAGAGACAGAGAAAGGCAUUAUUUGGACCUAGAAGUCAAAAUAUCUGUAUGCCCCUUCUGGAAGGGUAGGGUGGAGGGGCUGGAGAGAAACAAGAUGAAAACGAAUCAGAGAAAAAUAAAUCCAGGCAAAGGGAAGAUUCAGGAUAUAAGAAAUAGUUUAAUCCAAAUAAAUGUGUUAGUAAUGGGAUUUAGAAAUUUAAUGCAAGUAUCAUGGAAGGAUUAUAAAAAGAAAAACAUACCUGUAAAAAUCUAGGGAAUAGGAAGACAUGGGAAGAAGACAAUCAAAAAAAGCAUAUUAAAAUUUUCAUUUUGUUUUUUGAGAUAGUGGUUAUUUA